RNAcentral lists this long non-coding RNA (1064 nucleotides) under Bos grunniens (domestic yak). RNAcentral's name for it is "lncRNA (ENSBGRG00000018329.1)". Lineage: Eukaryota; Metazoa; Chordata; Mammalia; Artiodactyla; Bovidae. The record is from RNAcentral.
AUCUCUGACUGUUUUACAAAAACCUCUUCUUCAGAAAACAACAGGAUAGUUACCAAGCAUUUUUGGAAACUGUGUAUAACUGAGGAGAUUCAAUUCAUUAGAAACAUGAUAAAUUAUAAAUGGUAAAGGCUGAAAAAGGGUAAAUUGUGGGGGAAAUGUAAAUUAAAUAUCAAAAGUAUAAUGUAACCAUUAGUGAUCAUUCAGUAUGUAUUACUUUACUUUGCUAUAUUCUUUAUUAUACUUUUUGAGAUAAGGCAGUUUACCACAGUAUUAUUUUAUGCCUCACUUACUUUAUACAGGAAAAAGCAAAGAAAAAAAUUCAAGCUAGAAUGUGCAGUGUUUUUUCCUUACUGUUAUUUUUCUUUUAUUUAAAUAUGAUGAUAUUCACAAUAUAGAGUAUAUUUAUGGAUCCUUAAUUGACUGUAAUUAAUUCCCAUUACUUUUCUAUUUCUGAAAAGAUUAUGAAAACCAUGAUUUUUAUCCCAAAUCUUUAUCUUUCCUUGACCCAGAACUUUACAUUUUCCAGUGGAUUCCAAAUACUAAAUAGAAUAUCUUUCAUCCCUGUAGUGAUUCAGACUUAGUAUUAACUUUCAUCCUCAGAGUUUCAUUUGCUUCUCCUAAGGGUUCUGUUCAAUAGUUGACAGAGAUUUUGAUUGAUAAUUUAUUUGUUUGAUUUUGUAAAAAUCAAAACAGUUUUGUCUUGUUUGCCUCAGGGUGAAACAGGCAAGUUUAUUAGGGCCCGUUGCUCCUCAGGCCUCAGGGGACAACUGUUUUAUGACUAAUUACUUUUAACUAAUUUUCAUGAAAGAUAAUAUUACUCCUUUUUGUUUUUCAAGAAUCCUCUCCUGGACUCUCCACUUUGGAAUUAAUGUUCAGACGGUAAAGCAUCUGCCCACAAUGAGGGAGACCAGGUAUGCACAAAGAAGAAAUGCUUGACACAUGGAAGAAUUUUUUUAGUUUUGGUAAGAAAAUCUUCCUUGAUAAACUAAAAUUAAAGAUAGGACCAAUGACUUAGUAGAUCAUCUUUUCAAUCAUCUUGCUAUUUAUGCCUUUAGAUAUUCUCC